GGAUGUAUGACUGAGAGGUUUAAGGUGUGAUAUUUGAGCUAUCAAGGUGUAAACCCACGUGUUCGAAUCACGUUGCAUCCG
This is a transfer RNA of 81 nucleotides. It matches the Rfam family "tRNA". Rfam says of the family: Transfer RNA (tRNA) molecules are approximately 80 nucleotides in length. Their secondary structure includes four short double-helical elements and three loops (D, anti-codon, and T loops). The record is from Rfam.